Small nuclear RNA from Macaca fascicularis (crab-eating macaque), 107 nucleotides. The record is from Ensembl. Lineage: Eukaryota; Metazoa; Chordata; Mammalia; Primates; Cercopithecidae.
GCGCUUAUUUCAGCAGCACAUAUACUAAAAUUAGAAUGAUACAGAGAAGAUUAGCGUGGUCCCUGCACAGGGAUGACAUGCACAUUUUUGAAAAAAUUAGAAGAGAA